Long non-coding RNA from Lemur catta (Ring-tailed lemur), 402 nucleotides. RefSeq lists it as uncharacterized. The record is from RefSeq and is a predicted model, not a curated record. Lineage: Eukaryota; Metazoa; Chordata; Mammalia; Primates; Lemuridae. The transcript has 3 exons.
UGUACUUCAUUCUAAGCUUGAAUUCCAUCACCUUACCUAACCCGUUUAUGGUCCUCGUGCAGUCCUGGGUCAGUUGGUGACCAGAAGUCAGAUGCUGUGGCCCAUCACUGCCCCAUUCCAGAAGGUGCCUGGGAAGGAGUAGAUGUCUCCUCUCCCCAAUGUAUUUUGACUUUUCCAAGUGUGGGUGCGAGAACACAGCUUGAGGAUUUUGGAACAUACUUCAGAAAGCCUCGCAGGCCGUGGCUAACACGAAAGGUAACUACUGUUUCAUGGCUGAAAAAGGAAAAGAAGUCAAUGUUUUCUAAGGACUCUCUCGCAAGGCAUUUGCAGCGCAAGGGUGGAUUUCACAGGCGUCUUAAUUCCUGGCAGUGAAGGCUGAGGGCUGUCUUGGAGACCAGAAGC